RNAcentral lists this ribosomal RNA (379 nucleotides) under uncultured cyanobacterium. RNAcentral's name for it is "bacterial SSU rRNA". It matches the Rfam family "Bacterial small subunit ribosomal RNA", at positions 376 to 770 of the family's 1533-position model. The record is from RNAcentral. Lineage: Bacteria; Bacillati; Cyanobacteriota.
CGAAAGCCUGACGGAGCAACGCCGCGUGAGGGAGGAAGGCCUUAGGGUUGUAAACCUCUUUUCUCUGGGAAGAAGAUCUGACGGUACCAGAGGAAUAAGCCUCGGCUAACUCCGUGCCAGCAGCCGCGGUAAGACGGAGGAUGCAAGCGUUCUCCGGAAUUAUUGGGCGUAAAGCGUCCGCAGGCGGCUUAUUAAGUCUGCUGUUAAAGCCCACAGCUCAACUGUGGAUCGGCAGUGGAAACUAGUGAGCUAGAGUACGGUAGGGGUAGAGGGAAUUCCCAGUGUAGCGGUGAAAUGCGUAGAUAUUGGGAAGAACACCAGUGGCGAAGGCGCUCUACUGGGCCGUAACUGACGCUGAGGGACGAAAGCUAGGGGAGCG